CCGUGCUAGAUGGGGAGAUGGCGGUGCCCUGUAACUCGCAAUCCGCCUUAGCGAGGUUGAAUUCCUAGCAGCGGUACAGUUAAUGUAGGGUUUGCCUUAUGUAAGCGGUGUUGACUAUUAGGGUCUACGCAACAGAAACCUAUGAAAUUGGUCAGGUUCGGAAGAAAGCAGCCAUAAGUAGAUCAUUCUGUGUGCCGUAGAUAGCCCGAAUUGAGCUGGCUAUAUAAGUAGCACUUAUGUAACUGUAUCAAUGAUAGGUGCACGG
RNAcentral lists this signal recognition particle RNA (265 nucleotides) under Halalkalibacter suaedae. RNAcentral's name for it is "Bacillus suaedae Bacterial large signal recognition particle RNA". It matches the Rfam family "Bacterial large signal recognition particle RNA". Rfam says of the family: The signal recognition particle (SRP) is a universally conserved ribonucleoprotein involved in the co-translational targeting of proteins to membranes. Archaeal SRP consists of a 7S RNA and homologues of the eukaryotic SRP19 and SRP54 proteins. In most bacteria, the SRP consists of a 4.5S RNA and the Ffh protein (a homologue of the eukaryotic SRP54 protein). The record is from Rfam by way of RNAcentral. Lineage: Bacteria; Bacillati; Bacillota; Bacilli; Caryophanales; Bacillaceae.